RNAcentral lists this long non-coding RNA (1520 nucleotides) under Olea europaea subsp. europaea. The record is from RNAcentral. Lineage: Eukaryota; Viridiplantae; Streptophyta; Magnoliopsida; Lamiales; Oleaceae.
CGUCCGCCUAUAACACACUCGCCAUGCCAUGAAAAAUUAGUCUUACUAAACCUUGAUGGAAGCAUUUAUAAUUUUCGAAUAAAAAAAGUCUGCCAAGUAAAUACUAAAUACACCCAUAAUACUAAAAUCUUCAUAAUAAGGGGGCAAACAUGAAUUUUAAACUGUAUUUGAAUUGUAGGGAACAAAAUAUGCUAACAUCCCACAAAAUUUUCAACAUUCAAAAGAAUCAGUAUGGCUCUGUUCUUCAACCAAGACAUUCCAUCUGAUUCACGACACACAAAUACAAAGAAUUGCAAUAAUUGUCUUGAGUUUCACUUAUAAAUAAAACAUUUCUUCACAUUCUGUCUUCUCUCUGCCAUGGGGCACAAGUGAUGACUUCGUCGACCCUUAAAUAAUUGUCUUGAAUGACUCGGAUAUCCCCAGCUCUGCCAUAUUGCCACCCUACACAAAAUAGCAACCAUCAAAAUAGCCAUGGUGGAAAUCACAAGCAAGAACUGUGAAACCGUAAAACAUGCGAUGCAUAAGCCAUAUCUAAAAUUUUAUUGUGUUCAUUCUCGUCCGACCAUGACAUUGGUUCCUUAUACCUAACUUUGUGACCACCCAUGUUGAAGCUAUAUUCAUAUACAUCAAAUUAUCAUCAAAUAUGUAAGACCUUCCGUAGGCGAUUUGAGGACAUAUUAAUGUAUUUAAUUAUAGUCACAUACCACCAAUUGCUCAAAAGCAUACCUAACACAUGUACGCAUAAUUAUAAGCAUCAACAUCUAUACACACACAAGCAUCAACAACAAACGAUCCAACAAAUCAUAGAAUACAGACAAAAUCAUCGUUUACGUAUUAGAUUUACCUAAUUGAAACAGGGAGAUCUAUAGUUUACACCAAAAGAGUUUACACCAAAAUCAUCAACAACAAACUAUCCAACAAAUCAUAGUAUAUUGAACAUGUCAAUUUUUUUUUUGGGUACAAUUUUACAAGACUCAGUACAUAUUUAAUACAAAAUAUUAUUAUAUGCGACUGAAUUAAUCAGUAAGUUUAAAUUCAAUUUACUUUUAAAUAUUAUUACAAUCCUCCAAUGGUGGCAGCCAUGAAAUAUUAGAUUUGAUGGCUGUGGACAGACGCCAGUGGUUAUAUCCCAACUCCAACCACACAACCAGAGAGAAAAAUUGAGAAGAGCAUUUACCCAAAACAAAUUAUUUCUUACGACUAAAAAUCAAAGAAAAAGGAUUUUAAAAAACCCAGUAGUUAUUCAGAUUGUUAUCUAAUUAAAAAUCGCAAAUUCAUAAAUAAAUGGAUUAUCUGUCCAUAAUUUCCUAACAAUGUUUUCGUUGAAACUAAAAACUAAAUACUAAAUAAAAAAAACUGGAAUUCAGGCACAGAAGAUAUAUGGAUUAUAUGCCCAAAACUACCUUUCCAUAUCUUCAAUGGAAUUAUGGAAUUCACAUCUCAAUGGAUUAUAUGCCCAUAACUACCUUUGCAAUCUCAGUAUACGUAUUUUGAAGCACUCACUAUUUCAAAUAGCAAAU